GGACAGGUAGAGUAAGAUGCCAUCUAAAACUGGUGAAUAUUUGCGUAGUUAAACAACGCAGUGGAAAGCCCCGCCCACCAGCGUCUUGUCUCGAGCAGAAUUUUCACUGCGCCAUUUUUCUUCACCUGAAGGAACUGCCACCUUCCAACGGUCAGGGAUGAGCGCUCUCCUCUUAUGGCUGUAUCAUGAACACGCUCAAUUAGCAUCGCAUGACAGAAUUUCCUGUCCUGGAUGUUCGAACCUGUGUGUGAGUUAAAGAGCAGCCGGCAGGUGGCAGUGUUUACGUGAUGAACAGUCUAAGAAUAGCUGCUGACCACUGGACCAGUUCUCCUCCCUGAACUUCCCUCUGCUCUCCACUGUGUUCCAUUCUUGCAUUUGUACCUAUGUACUAUAUUUUGUCUCUCUUGUUCAUCUUUACUAUUUAUAUUCAUUACCUACCUGCACUCAGUUUUCAGAAGUGCAUCCACAGCACUCUUCACACAUCUUUCGUCAGUUAAACUAAAGUUGAGCGUGAUAUAUUUUUUCCUUUUGUGAGCACCAACAAAACUAAUUCCUGACACUAAUUUCUAGUAAUGGUUCUUGGUAUAAACUGUGUUUUUGCAGAGGAAUUAAGCGAGAAAUCAGUCCAGUCCAGCCAUACACAGGGCCAGGGAGUUCAGUCAGGUCAGGCCAUACAAGUCACUAUGUGAUGCUCAUUCUCUUCCUGUCCUAGUCUCUGCUCAUUCAGUGCUGCUCAGUUCAGGGAAGGGAAGGAAAUACCAAUUUGGCAGCGCUACAGGGAUUACAGUGGUAGUGGGCAUUUUUAAUCUGGGACAGACUGUGGCACUUAAAACUGUCAUCAGUCCUGUCCCAUCUAUCGGCUUGUCACCCCGUCCCAUCCUGUUAAGAAAAAAAAAACAUGAAACACUGCUGGAGCUGAUUAGACUCUUCGAAAUAAAUAAAUAAAAUAAAUGAACUGCAACCUAAAUCUCACAGCAAGGGGUUUACGUAGCCAGAGCCCCCAUUACUGGUACUCUACCCCCUGGGAAGAGUUUAGUGUCAACAGACUCCUUCUGCAGGGGAGGAGGAGGGUCUCCAUCAUAGACAUUAAAUGAAAUGUCUAAAUGAAGGAAGAGUAUUUUGAUAUAAACAAAUAAUGUGUAGAGAAUUAAGGGUCAGACCUGUGCACCUCUAAUGGCCUCAAACCCAACGUUAUACAAAGAGUGUGAGGGGACAUAUGCUUCUGCACACGCACAAACAGAGCAGCACACAUGCAAAACGGCAUAUGCUUAAUCACCAGUGGCGUUUCCCAGGAAAUAAAAAAGCCUCUGUGGAUUAAAUCCUUCGAGCUGAACAUUAGAGAAGUGCAGAGUUCAGCUCUUACAGAAAAAAGGCAAAUCAUUAUCUUCCAGAGAGAGAGGGGAAGAAUCAGAGGUUGAAGGCGGCAGACUGUGAUACUGAGGAAGAAAAGGCGUCACGUUGCGAGUAAGACAGACUGAUAAAAGAACGAAGCCAUCGACGGAGGAAGAGAGAAAGGGCCCCACAAAUUGGCAAAGGGAAGUCUGGGUCUGUGCUUUGCAUUUCAUUUACAUGGCUGGCCGUAUCGACCAAUCGGAUUGGGAGCGGAGCCCGUGGCUUAGGAAGGCGAAUAAAGACUCCAAAUGCCUUCACUGCUCUCAUCCCUCUCUCUCAUAAUACCCUGUCUGCCCUUCUUUUCUCUCGCUCCCUCUCUUUUCUCUCCUCACUGUCAUAAUACCCUUUCUCUCCCCAUUCUCUACUCUCUGGCGCGGUGCUAUAAGUAGACCCUGUCCGAUGUGAUAGUGGGAUGAGGAGAGGGGAGAGAGGAGAGGAGAGGUGAGGAGAAGGAGGAGGAGGAGGAGGACGGGAGUUUGCAGGGAUGACUUUUGCUGCCACCCACUAAAAGUAAAAAAAAAAAUUUAAAAAAAAAAGCGAGAUUGUGCAUGUGUGUGUGUUUGCAUAAUGUGGGUAUUUGUGGUCGCAUGUGCACACGUGUAGUGUUUUUUUCCCCCCCAGAUAUAAACCAGACACAAGCAGAAGCACUUUCAUCCGAUGUUUUUUGUUGUUUUUGUUGUUGUUGUUUGGGGAAGGGUUCCUGUUUUGCUCACCUGCAUGACACACACAGUGUAACACCAGCAGAACAUUUUGUUAUCCUGACAAAUCCAUUGCCACAGAGCACAUGAAAACACACACACCUACCCAUAGAAGACAUAAUACAUGCUAAUUAAUUUAUAAAUGCUCUAUAAUUAAUGGUAAUAAUGUCAGUGUAAUUACAUAUUACACACAGUAGAUGAUGAUUAAGACUGAUAGCUAUCAUUUGACUUUUUUGAUGUACGGUCGAUGGUGCAUUUCCUCAGUGAAAUGUAGUGGUACACACACACACUCACACACAAUGAUACACUUCCCCUUGAAUUCAUUUGAAUAAUGGCAUGUAGACAGACACAUUAGAAAAACCCAUGAAUGACCCCGGGCAUUUCUCACAGGAGACAUGCAACCACUUAACGCUUAAGCACACAACCACACACACACUCACACACACACACACACACACACACACAGACCUUGAGGGUAUAAUUUUGUGCCAUAUUAUGAGUUAAUAGUUUACCUUCCAUCCAUGCAAGAGAGGCCUCUUUCUGCGAGUCAAAUGAAAGUUUUGGGAAAAGAGGUGGAUGAGACAGGAAGUUAUUCACUUCUGUCAUAGAUAAUAACUGUAUCCGCCACAUUAGUGCAGCAUAUUUAGAUGUUCCCUUUGUGAAACGGUGGUUUUGUUAUCUUUUACUUUGGUUAAAGUAGCAAUAUCUCAGUGUUCAAAUACUCCAUCACAAGUAAAAAUCCUGUAUUCAUAAUUUUAGUUAAGUAGAAGUACAGAAGUAUUGUUAGCACUAUGUACUAGAAUAACCAGUGUCAGUGUGUUUACAUUAUAUCCUUAUAGAUUCUGGAGCUACAGAAUGCUUAUGAUAAUACCAUCUAUGCCCUUUCAGAAGAAGAUCUGUAGUGUAUCCUUGAUGCAUUUGUUUAGGCUCCUGGGACUGACCCUGAACCUCAGGAAGACACAACUUUUCCAUCAGCUGCCACCCGAAAUCACAACUUCUCCACCUGCAAUACACAUUGACAAUACCAAUUGCGAAAGUGUGGAUCACUUUGCUUACCUUGGCAGCCUCCUUUCCAUCAGAGCUGACAUCGACCAAGAAAUACAUCAUCAUAUCAGCUGUGCUAGCGGGACCUUUGUAAAACUCAGGAGAACACAUACAAGUGAGGACAAAACUGCUUGUUCACAAGACAGUUGUUCUUUCCGCUCUACUGUAUGCAGCAGAAACAUGGACCACCUACAGAAAACACAUCAAAGCCCUGAAGUCCUACCACCAUGUCUCCAAAAAAACAGCUGGAAAGACAAACACAGAAGCAUCAGUGUCAGUCUAUAUGACCCUUAGUCAUUAAACUGGACAUUGAUCAUUAACAUCACUGCAGUACUUGAAAUAAUUGUGCAAUAUUC
This is a long non-coding RNA of Siniperca chuatsi (mandarin fish), 3490 nucleotides long. RefSeq lists it as uncharacterized. The record is from RefSeq and is a predicted model, not a curated record. The transcript is spliced from 3 exons. Lineage: Eukaryota; Metazoa; Chordata; Actinopteri; Centrarchiformes; Sinipercidae.